CAAAGAUAGAAUACACUAGAGUGCAACUGUGCAGAUAUUUUCUUUCCUUUGUUUGCCUUUAUUCUGCUUUUCUUUUUCUGGCACGGGGAAGGGAGAAAUGAUCAACACUCCUCCCAUAUGCUUCAACUUUCACAUCUGUUUUGCCAUUAUCCAUCCUGCUAAGAUAUAAUUAAUGAGAGCCUUCCCGAAUUUCAUACAUUCUGAAAACCAGCCAAUCCCUUCUCUUUGGAGAAUACAUUGAAAAUAACAAUAAAAGUGAGGUGGUGUGGGCUUUUGAAGUCUUUAGAAAACCCAUCGCUGUGAUCUUUGUUCCACCACUGGGGAACUAGGACAUCACCGCACGUGUCUGGCAUUGUUCGUGACAACACGGCAACAGAAAUAAAGCAAGAGUUUCUGGGAGUAGCAUUAGGAUGCAGCACUCCUGCUGUGCACACCAGUUCCCAGCUCUGCACAGCUGCCUUCUCAGCUGGGGGUUUGAAAUCAGCACUGUGAGAAAAGACAGAAAUGACCGGGAUGCAUGGCCCUCACUAUGAGGAAAAGUUCUUCAAGGCAGAUUGUGAUGUUGAAAGCAGCUUCAUCCAUUUUGUGGCCAUGAAGGAGGAAAAGGAACAAUCAAAAGGAGAAUUCCAGAAAUUCCAGUCUCAAUUUGAUCAAGCUAUUAGAACAAUGGUGCUUGUUGGACAGUGUAUGGCUACUUUGAAGUUUUUCACAUAUAUAUAAUAAUUGUGCAUAUUUCUGGGAUGUGAUGUGUUAUUUUCAUAGAUAUAGGCACUAAAAUUAUCCCAUGUUUAUUCACUCUAAACAAUAGUGUGUGGAGAAUAGUCAUAACUGGAGCUAUGUAACACACAUAGGAACAAUCCAUCAGAGAUUGUUCACAGGUGAACAUUAUGUUAUGAAAUAAAACACUUAAGAAUGAAGUUAAAUACAGUUGUGAUGCUGAAAAAAUAUGAAGUUAAAUGCAGUUGUGAUACUGAAAAAAAGAUGGUGAUCAUUUUACUUGGUAAUCAAAACAGAAUCAAGAAAAUUUCUGAUAUCUUUCCAAGAUCUGUUACAAAAUGAUAUACUUGAUGUUUAUUUUCUCAUAUAAAAUAAGGGAUUACCCUAUUUCUCUGGUUCAGUUUUAGAUGUAAAUUUCAAAGUUAAUCAUAAUAAAAU
Molecule: long non-coding RNA, 1155 nt
Filed under: Cricetulus griseus (Chinese hamster)
Lineage: Eukaryota; Metazoa; Chordata; Mammalia; Rodentia; Cricetidae
Description: lncRNA (ENSCGRG00015041429.1)
Source: RNAcentral